Molecule: long non-coding RNA, 695 nt
Filed under: Homo sapiens (human)
Lineage: Eukaryota; Metazoa; Chordata; Mammalia; Primates; Hominidae
Description: PROX1 antisense RNA 1
Source: RNAcentral
GGCAGAGAGAGGAAAACACGCGAGUGCACACACGGUGAUAUCUUGCGGGUGAUGAAUAUGAUAAUUGGACAAGGGACGAGAGAACCAUUCUCUGCUUUCAAUAGGACAGAAGAGCUCCUUGGCACUGGAUGCCUCCGGGUCUGGUUGAGAGAGGAAUGGUUAGGAGACUGUUCUGAGGAUACGCAGACAUCAUCCAAAGCUUCCUACAUUCAGAUGAGGACAGAGGUUGGGCCAGAGCUUUGUAAGCUUGUUACCUAAGGAUGGUUCUGACCAUGUAAGCAGAUCACAGAAGCUAUUCACAGAUCAUCAUCAGCCAGAGGUGACUUCUGUUGCUUGCAGCUCAGAAUCCUAGAUGUUUCCGGUGGCACUGAAGAGCCUCUGCUGAAGCUCUAUACCAUUUGCCAUUUACAAAGGGAAAUGAAAUAAUAACGCUGACCAUUUGUGGAGCACAUUCUGUCUGGAGGCAAAGGAUGCCAAGAUGGGAAAGCCACAUAAUGGAAGGAUCCUGGAUUUCAGAGCUGUCACUUGGAGGAGGGGCACCCAGUGAAGGUGUCUUAUCUAACCCACACCAUAUCUUCAUGAAGUGGCCAUAUGGAUUUGAUCCCUAUCCUUCAGAGGUGCUCAGCCUAAGGGAACACGGAUAGUAGAUUAAGCACUGACCAGAGCCAGCCUUGACAAUGUGCUGAUGGCAACCU